UACGUAGGGUGCGAGCGUUAAUCGGAAUUACUGGGCGUAAAGCGUGCGCAGGCGGUUUUGUAAGCCAGAUGUGAAAUCCCCGGGCUUAACCUGGGAAUGGCAUUUGGGACUGCAAGGCUAGAGUACGUCAGAGGGGGGUAGAAUUCCACGUGUAGCAGUGAAAUGCGUAGAGAUGUGGAGGAAUACCGAUGGCGAAGGCAGCCCCCUGGGACGUGACUGACGCUCAUGCACGAAAGCGUGGGGAGCAAACAGG
Molecule: ribosomal RNA, 253 nt
Filed under: uncultured bacterium
Lineage: Bacteria
Description: partial 16S ribosomal RNA
Rfam family: Bacterial small subunit ribosomal RNA
Source: RNAcentral